This 253-nucleotide ribosomal RNA is filed under the name uncultured bacterium. RNAcentral's name for it is "partial 16S ribosomal RNA". It matches the Rfam family "Bacterial small subunit ribosomal RNA", at positions 524 to 776 of the family's 1533-position model. The record is from RNAcentral.
UACGUAGGGCGCAAGCGUUGUCCGGAAUUAUUGGGCGUAAAGAGCUCGUAGGCGGUUUGUCGCGUCUGCUGUGAAAACCUAAGGCUCAACCUUGGGCUUGCAGUGGGUACGGGCAGACUAGAGUGCGGUAGGGGUGACUGGAAUUCCUGGUGUAGCGGUGGAAUGCGCAGAUAUCAGGAGGUACACCGAUGGCGAAGGCAGGUCACUGGGCCGCAACUGACGCUGAGGAGCGAAAGCAUGGGGAGCGAACAGG